CAGCGGCAGAGCGAUGCGGUCUGCACCGGCGGUCUCGAUCCCCAGGGCAUCGGGAUGGCCCUCGGGGCGGGCUCGAUCGAGGCGAGCGCCGUCGA
This 95-nucleotide transfer RNA is filed under the name Agromyces mediolanus. RNAcentral describes it as "tRNA-Arg". Lineage: Bacteria; Bacillati; Actinomycetota; Actinomycetes; Micrococcales; Microbacteriaceae. The record is from RNAcentral.